CAAGAAUUCUCAAAACAGCUUUCUGAACCUGAAUCGCACGCAGUAAAGCUGGUGUUCUCCUGAAGCCAACAUUUAUGGUAUCACCUUGCUGAUCCAGGCAAAAUGGCAAAAGUGUAGUGAACAUAAAGCCAGGGGCUGAGAUUGUGGAUGUCCUCUGUACCAAGUUUCUUAUUAUGAAAAUUCCAAGGGCCAAUUUUGAAACAAACCAGGCAGAGACCCAGAUGCAGAAUCCUGCAGGCUGAGGGAUGUUAGGAAGAGUUAGCCCACCACUGCUGCGCUGAAACCAGGAUGACGCAAACUGGGCCUCAGGCCAGAUCAAUAAACCAAACUCCCUGUCACCUCAGACUCUGCACCUGUUAAAGCCCUGUAAAGAGCCGACAUGUAAGGACUUAUACUGACUGGAUACAGAGAAUAUGGAGCAAAUCAAACGUAUUUAAAUAGUAAAUUAUCAUAUUGUUAUAAAUAAAAAUUUACAUUGCA
RNAcentral lists this long non-coding RNA (480 nucleotides) under Homo sapiens (human). RNAcentral describes it as "long intergenic non-protein coding RNA 1360". The record is from RNAcentral. Lineage: Eukaryota; Metazoa; Chordata; Mammalia; Primates; Hominidae.